GAAAGAGUGAGCUGCAGCCAUUGCCCGUGCAGAAUCUCAAAAUAAAAAUAGAAUAAUAAUAACAAAAAAGCUGGGGAUGUAACUCAGUAGAAGUUCAUUGCCCAGUACCUCAAUCAGCCAGUCCAUAAAUGUGUAGAUGACAAAAACAUUUUCAUGCUGAACAAAGGUUGGGAGCCAUAGAAGCUUUUGACCAGGUAUACACACAUUGGCAUUCUGAAUGCAUAUGCUUUUCAGGUAAUUUUUGUAAGAGCAACAGAGAAAGGCCAGUUAGUCCCCUGCAGCUCUUUAUCUCAGGGAGGCAGAGCAUUCCCAGGAGCCCCAUUCCACUUCUCCUCAGACUUCUGCUCUGGGCUGGGGCCAUGUGGUCUCUGGCUGCAGAGGGAUGCACAGAAGACACCUCUCCUGGGGAGCCCAAAGCCUGCUCUGUGGAGAGAAGGCAGGGGUGAGAAUGGACCUGGGAUGGUGUGGAUGAAGAGCAGGGUUUGUGUGAGGGCUGCUUCCUUCAUUUAUAACCCAGGGUGAGGUCAAGGUGCAGCAGGAGUUGAUCCGUGGGCAGGAGUGAUUUAGUACUGGAGGGCAGGGCUGGGAGUGUUAGUUAUAUGGGAAUCACUUGCUCAGAAGGCUGAAAUGAGAUUCCAGGAAUCCCCGGUAAGGAAGAGGAGUGAGAUGGAGAAAAACUGUGUAACAAGUCUGAGGGACUGACUUCUUUUGGGGGGUCUUGUCUAGGCAGUGACAGUGUCAAGGGUGCCUGUUUAACAGCUUUAAGACUUCCACUUCCCUCAGUAAGUGCAGCACAUGCUCAUGUACAGCCCACCGAAGGCUGGUCUAGGGCCUUCAUCGGAGCAUAUUGUCCGCUCAGAAAUUCAGUUUUGUCCACUGUGGCCUUUGAUGGGGAAGUAACAGAGAUCUACUGAAUGAAUCGGGAUGAACAGGCAUUCAUUAUUGUUUAUUUUGUGAUAGAAGGACAGUUGGAGAUCUUCAUCCCCACGAAGAAAUGCAGAGAAGGCAGCCAGAUACCCCUUUGUGGGGCUUUGUGUUAGCCUUGCACCACUGAGGUGACGCCUCAGAGACGGAGGAGCAUGCGCUUGGCCAGGUAUGGCUACUGUUCUUAUUGACGCACUCCCUGGGUCAGUCCCUCUCCCCUUUCCUGGGUGACUGCUGUUCCUUGCUGUUGGGCCAGCUAAGGCCUCUGCUCACUCCCUCGUGGACCUUGGCCUGGUCUCUGUGAUUCUCCUUCAUCCCUGG
This 1245-nucleotide long non-coding RNA is filed under the name Heterocephalus glaber (naked mole-rat). Its description in RNAcentral is "lncRNA (ENSHGLG00100039074.1)". Lineage: Eukaryota; Metazoa; Chordata; Mammalia; Rodentia; Bathyergidae. The record is from RNAcentral.